UACGGGGGGGGCAAGCGUUGUUCGGAAUUACUGGGCGUAAAGGGCUCGUAGGCGGCCCUCUCAGUCGGAUGUGAAAUCCCCAGGCUUAACCUGGGAACGGCAUCCGAUACUGGAGGGCUUGAAUUCGGGAGAGGGAUGCAGAAUUCCAGGUGUAGCGGUGAAAUGCGCAGAUAUCAGGAGGAACACCGAUGGCGAAGGCAGGUCUCUGGGCCACUACUGACGCUGAGAAGCGAAAGCAUGGGGAGCGAACAGG
RNAcentral lists this ribosomal RNA (253 nucleotides) under uncultured bacterium. Its description in RNAcentral is "partial 16S ribosomal RNA". It matches the Rfam family "Bacterial small subunit ribosomal RNA", at positions 524 to 776 of the family's 1533-position model. The record is from RNAcentral.